Molecule: ribosomal RNA, 402 nt
Filed under: uncultured bacterium
Lineage: Bacteria
Description: partial 16S ribosomal RNA
Rfam family: Bacterial small subunit ribosomal RNA
Source: RNAcentral
AAUAUUUGGCAAUGGGCGAAAGCCUGACCCAGCAACGCCGCGUGAAGGAAGAAUGUCUUCGGAUUGUCCACUUCUUUUAUGAGGGACGAAGGACGUGACGGUACCUCAUGAAUACGCCACGGCUAACUACGUGCCAGCAGCCGCGGUAAUACGUAGGUGGCGAGCGUUAUCCGGAUUUACUGGGUGUAAAGGGCGCGUAGGCGGGGAUGCAAGUCAGAUGUGAAAUCCAUGGGCUCAACCCAUGAACUGCAUUUGAAACUGUAUUUCUUGAGUGCUGGAGAGGUAGACGGAAUUCCUUGUGUAGCGGUGAAAUGCGUAGAUAUAAGGAAGAACACCAGUGGCGAAGGCGGUCUACUGGACAGUAACUGACGCUGAGGCGCGAAAGCGUGGGGAGCAAACAGG